Molecule: ribosomal RNA, 408 nt
Filed under: uncultured bacterium
Lineage: Bacteria
Description: bacterial SSU rRNA
Rfam family: Bacterial small subunit ribosomal RNA
Source: RNAcentral
UGGGGAAUAUUGCACAAUGGGGGAAACCCUGAUGCAGCAACGCCGCGUGAAGGAAGAAGGUUUUUGGAUCGUAAACUUCUAUCAACAGGGACGAAGAAAGUGACGGUACCUGAAUAAGAAGCCCCGGCUAACUACGUGCCAGCAGCCGCGGUAAUACGUAGGGGGCAAGCGUUAUCCGGAAUUACUGGGUGUAAAGGGAGCGUAGGCGGCACGCCAAGCCAGAUGUGAAAGCCCGAGGCUUAACCUCGCGGAUUGCAUUUGGAACUGGCGAGCUAGAGUACAGGAGAGGAAAGCGGAAUUCCUAGUGUAGCGGUGAAAUGCGUAGAUAUUAGGAAGAACACCAGUGGCGAAGGCGGCUUUCUGGACUGAAACUGACGCUGAGGCUCGAAAGCGUGGGGAGCAAACAGG